Molecule: long non-coding RNA, 2048 nt
Organism: Empidonax traillii (willow flycatcher)
Lineage: Eukaryota; Metazoa; Chordata; Aves; Passeriformes; Tyrannidae
Exons: 3
Source: RefSeq, a predicted model, not a curated record
UUUUUAUGCUGGAGAGUUACCUCAAAGGAGUAUAAUUUUCUCUCUUUAGUGUGGAAGUAUUUGUGCUCAUCUAAAAGAUUUUAUGCUUGCAGAACUGCAUUCCAUUGUCUACUUUUUUUGUGAAUAGGCAGACCCAGGUAAAGUAACUUAGUUUUAAAGGAACUAUAAAUCCUAAUUCCUUCAAAUCAAAUUCCUAAGACAUCCAAGUGUCCAAGAUGCUGUGAAAAGAGACACAAAAAUAAAGAAUAGAAGGUUAAUGUUUGCUACUGAUGGCUCUUGUCAUUGGAGGAUUAGCGCUGAUGCAGUGUUGUGACAAAAAAAUCAAUGAAUGAAAGUUUCUGCCACCUUUAAUUGUAAGAAGCUAAUGCUGAACUGAUCUGUUAAGGUUUCAUGGAGAAAGUUGACAAUGAGGGGAAAUAGUGGGUGAUAUUUUUUCAAAACAUGUUAACUGCUUUUACUUAUUUUGUCGUUUAAGGAUAGAAAGAUCAGAGAUGCUAGAAAUGGUUUCUAGAAUUGGGUGGCCCUUCAUCAGUGUUUUAUAGGUACUAUUUAAGCCAUCUUUGCUAAGGAGAAGCUCCUUUACUAUUAAUAUGCUGUCAUCUUUCAAAUCUCAUCAAGGCAGCACCAGAAUUUUUUCGCACAGAUUUCCUUUGACAUACAGCCUCAAUAAAUAUGGAAAUUACAGCUUAAAUCUCAUUUUUUUUUCUUGCAAAGCAGCACAGUGCCCAAAUUCAUUGAAUUUCAACUUUUAUUUUUUCUUAAUGUUGAAAGACAUAUAUGCAAAUUUUAUUAACAAUAUGCAUGGUUAAAUUUAGCUGUAAACUCCAGUCAGGGAUUUUUGCUUUGUUUAUUGUCCAAGUCAAUAUGUCUGUGGAGAAAACCUCCUGCUGUGCAGGAAUACACAGUCAGCUACUUGGAAAAGUGGAAAGUUUAAUUAUGAGAGUUUAUUCUGAAAAAAAGGUAAAACAAGCAUUGUUUUUUGGGUUGGGUUUUUUUAAUUAUGACUUCAGGUAGCAGAAGUACAACAUACACGGUUUAUUUUGACACAAACUGUUCUCAGAUAAACCAUUUGAUUUUUCUUUAACCUGGUCAUCUGCGUAACUGAGGAGUUCUGAAAGAGAGGUCAUGAAUAAAUGAUGCAUUUCUUAAACUUGCAAGGUAGAUAAUGACAUAAAUGAAGUAAAAUCCAAGUGUGAAGGAAAAAAAAAAGCAUGAACACAUGUAUUGCUGACAAUAUCUUCAUUAAAAUAUACUUUAUCCUAGGAAGAUAUUAGUGUCAGGUUGCCUGAAAGAUGCAAAUUUCCUUUGUUGCUCUCUCUUAAGUUGUUUUGAUUUUUUUCAUGGUAACAGUGAGGUACCUUUAUAAGAGUGGAAGGGUAAAUUAUUACUGGAGAAUAUGUGUUAUAAAUGAUAUCCAAAGAUAUUCUCAUGUUUAUAAUAGAAAGCUCUCCAAGACUGUAGUCACUGGAGUGGUUCCCGUGUGUUCAGUUUUCGUAAGUCACUUACAUAAAAUACAUUUUAUCUGGCUAUUUAUAAAACCCCCGCUGCUUGCAAAGAAGAUGUUUCUUCUGUCUAUCUAGAGUAUAUGUAAUACUGUAAUAAUCUGUAUUUCUCCCUGUAAUUCAGUGUAUAUUUCUCCUUUCUAAGCCUGUUCAAAUGUAAUAUGAAGAGUGUUUUCAUGAUAAUUUUACUAUGGAUGACAGUAACUAGCUUUAUUCUAAACCAAUAAAAUUUUUUACAAAAUUUGUUAUGGCUAAUAUUUGGGUUACAUGACUUUCAUCAGAUGUGAAAUCAUAUUCUUUUUUUCUUUGCAUCUGUGUAGGGACUGAUCCAUAACCUGGGCUAGUAGGUUCCCCAGCAAUACAAAUGGUACAUCAUAAUUGCGUGUGAAGAAAGGCUGGCAGCUUUACAGAGGAAAUCUCUGAACCUGUAGGCACUCCUACAUUUUUACUUGGUAAUAAGAACUAGUAUUACUCUGGUGGACAGUGUAAGCUGGAGGAAACAAUAGAUAUGAUGUAGAAGAUAACUAUCAGCUCCAGAGAGAAGCC